This 484-nucleotide ribosomal RNA is filed under the name uncultured bacterium. Its description in RNAcentral is "partial 16S ribosomal RNA". It matches the Rfam family "Bacterial small subunit ribosomal RNA", at positions 30 to 507 of the family's 1533-position model. The record is from RNAcentral.
AUUGAACGCUGGCGGCAGGCCUAACACAUGCAAGUCGAGCGGAAGAAGGGAGCUUGCUCCUGGAUUCAGCGGCGGACGGGUGAGUAAUGCCUAGGAAUCUGCCUGGUCGUGGGGGAUAACGUCCGGAAACGGGCGCUAAUACCGCAUACGUCCUGAGGGAGAAAGUGGGGGAUCUUCGGACCUCACGCUAUCAGAUGAGCCUAGGUCGGAUUAGCUAGUUGGUGGGGUAAAGGCCUACCAAGGCGACGAUCCGUAACUGGUCUGAGAGGAUGAUCAGUCACACUGGAACUGAGACACGGUCCAGACUCCUACGGGAGGCAGCAGUGGGGAAUAUUGGACAAAGGGCGAAAGCCUGAUCCAGCCAUGCCGCGUGUGUGAAGAAGGUCUUCGGAUUGUAAAGCACUUUAAGUUGGGAGGAAGGGCAGUAAGUUAAUACCUUGCUGUUUUGACGGUACCAACAGAAUAAGCACCGGCUAACUUCGUG